Long non-coding RNA from Homo sapiens (human), 3152 nucleotides. RefSeq lists it as uncharacterized. The record is from RefSeq and is a predicted model, not a curated record. The transcript has 4 exons. Lineage: Eukaryota; Metazoa; Chordata; Mammalia; Primates; Hominidae.
AGUAGUGGUCAUUGAUGGUUAUAGGAGAAUAUGAAUGUCUUAAAAUGAUAUUUAGCUUUCCAGAUGACCUGCCUUCUUGGCUCCCUUACAGAUUGUGGGCAUGCCUGUGAUGUAAGUUCCUCAUCUGUCUCCUUUCAGACCAUCUUCUGUGAAGUUUAUUCAGCUCAUAAGUGUGAAUAAAAAAUUGCUAAAUGUGAACUCAAAGAGACAGUGCAGUUUUACAUCUGAGUCCACUGAAUGCAUCACAGAAGCAGCAUGUGCAGCAACAGGAGUCCAAUAGCGUCAACCACCAGGAAACAAGGAUCACGGAGCAUGUGAGAAAAUGGUAAUUGAGAAGGCUGAUCAAGGAACACACUAAAAUUGGAGGCAUGAAACACUUGCAGAAUUGUCCCAAUGGUCCAUCUGGGGAUCCUGGGAACAAGUGUCUUUCAAGCCACGACCAGUCUUUCUACUUCUUCCUCAUACUUUGUAUCUGGCUUGUGUACAUGUCACAGAAUCAGGUACUAAAACAAGAGGUGAUACAGAAAUAAGCUAUCCCAAAUAUAGCAUUAAGUGAAACAAACACAUCGUAUACUAGUUAUUAUAUCCGGAAGUUUGCAUUUUAUAUGCCUCAUGGAGAUACUUAGCGAUAUUCAGCAACCUUGCAAAUGGAGUGGUCUCUGCCAGACAGCUACUAACAGCUGUAGAACAAUUUCAGAAGCUGCUUACCCAAGAAGUCUAAUGUGGAAGGACAUGGCUGUCACUGCCUGGGGAAGCAAAUAGGAAAGAAUAUGACAAAGGAGGAAAUCAGCUGUUGGACCAAAGAAUUUAAACUUUGAUAAAAUGCCAACCGUCGAAGACAGUUGCUGUCUCACACAAAAUCCCAAGAACUGUGCAUACUCUACUUCUGUCAGCCUAGCAAUUUGCUCAGCUAUUGCUAUUUUGGGAAGGAAUUUCCACCAAGCUGGCGUAUCUUCAGCCCCUGAGGUUUCCUCUGAUUGACUGAUUAACAGGUGUUGAAAAAGCCUGUUGUAGAAAUAUCACAGACCCAGUGUGCUCGUUUGACUUCUGUAACUGUGACUGUAGUUUCAUUGAAUAUAUUGUUUCUUAAGAAGACUUUCUGCAGGGUAAAAUCAAAACAGAUUAUUUAUAACAUUUUUAGGUAAUUACUUUUCCAUAGAGACAGCAUAUGCAUUUGUUAAUAUGCUUUAUUAUUUAUGAAUUAUAAAUUGAAUAUGGUACUAAUGAUUGUGCAGAUGAAAGCUAAAUUAAUAUAACACAGAGUGAACUUGUCAAAGAAAUGUUGGCAUUAUAAGCCUAAAAAUGCAGUCAGCCCUCCGUGGACUCUACAUUUGGUAAUUCAACCAACAGUGCAUCCAAAAUAUUUUUAAAAAGCCAACAAUACAACAAUGAAACAUAAUACAAAUAAAAACAAUAUAGUAUAACACCUAUUUAUAAAGCAUUUACAUUGUAUUAGGUAUUGUAAGGAAUCUGGAGAUGAUUUAAAGUAUAUGGGAAGAUGUGUCUAGAUUAUAUAAAACACUACACCAUUUUUUUUUAUAAGGAACUUGAGCAUCUGUAGAUUUUGGUAUCUGCAGGGAGUCCUGAAACCAAUCCCUCUUGGAUACUGAGGAACAACUGUAAUCAUAUUUUUCUAAGAGAUAAAAGGAAAUUGAAUGGAAUUAAGGCUAGGUUAUCCAAGUGUACCUGAUUCCUGACAAGCCAAGUCUGAAUGAUGAGCAGGACUUUGAAUUACUUUGACAGAGGUGUACCCUUUAGGAUGCCCACUCAAUCAUCAGUGAAGCAGGCACCCCAGAGCCAGAAGUUUCCAUGGAAGUCUUCACCUACCUUGCCUACCUCCAGUGAGUUGUGAUAGGACCUCUCCUGAACCCACAAAACAGAUCCAAUCAAGUUCCACCUUCCAUUCAUGGACUUUCCCCUCUUCAUUGCCUCACGCAAUGUCAUAGCUGGAAGAGUUGAUCUUGUCUGACCUCCCAAGAGAAGAUGUCUUAUCCAAAAUCACAAAGCUGCCAAAUGUCAGCUGGGCUGAGAAGUGGCUGGUCCUACUCUUCGACUGUCUGGGCCAGCCCAGCCUGGGGAGGUGCUAUCAGUGCGAGGCCCAUAGUCCCUGAAAGCUUCACAGAAAUGGGUGAAGAUGGGGAGAGAGCUUCUCACGUCCUAGUUAAAGACUGGAAUAAUCAUUAACUUUGCUUAGUGUUGCCCAAUAAACAAGCUUAGCAGAUGAGUGAGAAGGCAAGGAAAGAGAAUCAGACUUGGGAUCUAGAAGCUGAGAUGACCUUAGGGACACUAUUCUGCCUCAGGCCACUCUGAGGAAUUGGGAGCUUCUAACUGGGCUGGGUAGGCAGCUAUUACGCACUGGUGUUUAUGUCUGGUAUGAAAAGUGACUGGGGGAGGUGGGGAGAUUUUAAAUCAGUCAAUGAUCAUAGGUGUGGACGGUGAGUAAUAAGGAGAUAAAUGGAAUUCAGUAGCAUAAAGGGUGAAGCCUCGUCCUUUGAGCUUUUCUGAGAAACCCAAGUGGUAUGCAGCUAGAGAGGUGGGGGCUGCGGAUGACAGUGGGUCAGAAAGUUGAUAGGGGGACACUGAUCAAGUAGAAAGCCACGGGGGAUGGAUGAGGACUUCAGUUAUUCCUCUGAAGAAAAAAAGAAGUAGCUUUAUGAGAGUAUAUUAAUUCAGAUCAAGGGAGUGAGCCCAGGCAGAGGUUAUGAGUAAAAAGGGGUGGAGUUUUACCACUGUGAGUCAAGAGUGAAGAGCCUGCUGAAUCAUGUAGGGGUGAGGAUGUUGGUGAUAGGGCAGACCCCUUCCAGGGCAGAAGGCCUGGAAUGCAAUCAGUUCCCCACAGAAAGGACUAAGGUCUACUGUCCCAGCAAUGCAAGUUCACACCUAAAAGCAAGGGUGUAGGAUCAAGUCUCCAAAACCCGAGAGAUCAGCUGCAGUGCAUACCCUGCUCCCUGGCCUGCUCUGGUCCCUGUCCCCAUCAGGGUCACUUCAGAUGGCAGUGCCUGGCUUACCAGCCAUCUGUCUGAAGAAUUAACUCUGAGGCAUUCACUAAACACACUUAGGCCAUCAAACCUCACACCAUAUACCAACAUAAAUUCAGGUGCUAAAUGGAAAAAACAAAACCAAAAAUAACCAUAAUAAAAUACAUGCCUUUU